UUUUUUUUUCUUUGAAAACAGCAAAUCUAAUAAGAAAGAUGAUAGGUCUGCAGGCUGUUGAAGUUUCUCAACAUCUCUGGUUCUUGAAACAAGUUGUUUCUUCUUUUUGCUUUCCGCCUGACAUGGGAGACAGCCUUGAAAGCCUCUGAGAGAAACUAUUGAUUUCCUCUUAAGGAUAGAUUAGAAGAAUGAGAGCCUUGAGGAAAACAGCUGCCAUUUAUCCAUAGUGUACUUCAAAAGAAAAAAUUCCAUUGUGUUUCUACUAGUUGAUUCCAGGGUCAGUAAGUAAUAGCCCCCAAAUACUCCCCAACACUUAAAACUUCAUAUGAGACAGGAGAUUCCCUUUAGUCAUGCUUCUUAUCUUUGUUUUACAAGCAUAGUUCUGUUAAUGUUAACAAUGCUGAUGUUGACAAAAGCUCGGAUAGUUACAUCCUUGAUGUCAUGGAUUACUUGCUCAACAGCCAAAAGAAUUACCAACAUCAUUAUAGGGGAACACUUGUAUGCUUCCCUCUUUAACAGAGAUCAGUCAUCUUCUACUGUUGCUUUAGUUUCAUCUUACCAAACAUUGUAUGUCAUGUUGUAUAUAUUUGGGUUCAGAAAUCCUUACUGUGAAAACACCAAAUGAGUUAUUUUUACACAGACCUGGAAAAUUCACUGACUAAAAUUGAGAUAUUUCUCUGGCUUUAAUAUUAAUUUCAUCUAUCUUCUGUAUAACAAUAAUUACCAUUUGUCUCAAUAUACUCAUAAGGGAUAUUCCUAUCUAGGAGAAAAGUUGAGAUAUAAAAGCAAUUUAGUGGUUAAACAUAUGGUUUCAAUAACUCCCUGGAAAUGCAAAUUUUAAAUUGCUGCAAAGCAAUCUCAGAUCUUAGGCUUUCAAAGUAGUCAAACGAAAUACCAUGCAAUUUACUCUGUAGGGAUAAUUAGACUAGUAUUUAAAAAUGAAGUCAAAUCUAAUCUGCAGGGCUGCUUAAGAUCCAGUGAUAGUAUCCACAGGAGAAAUCCCUUAUGUGGUCCAUAGUGAAGCUUGUACAUUGGUUGUGCCAAUGACUGCAUGCAAUACAGUUAUGAUUAAAUUCAGCAGUACAACAGACAAAAAGUUACUGAGACACUUAGGUCCAAUUUCCUGAAUGAUUCGGUGCGAAAAUUUGAAACAAAAGAGAGACUUCAGAUUCAAUUUGUUGUAAUACAAGACUAAAAAGGUUCAGAAAUUAACUAGAAACAAAUAUCUACAUCAAGAUUUUAUAUCUGCUCAUUGUCAUAUAUUGAAUAUCAGAUUAGAGCUAGGACUCGGACGUGAUCUAGCAGGCCAAUUUCAAGCUGUAGUUUUAUUAUUUCUUUUUUAUGAUUAUUUCAACCUCCAGAAAGGAAUUUAGCAAUUUCCCACUUUCACAUGGAACUGCAAUCCAGUUCCAAAUUUCUUAAUUUUUUUCUUAUUGUUUUCAAGCAGUAUCAGAGUUCUAGAGAUAUAAAUGUCUUAUAAAUAUUUGGCAGUGACAAAUCAUGCAUGCCUGAAAUUACUAAUCUGAUUUCAUUGGAAGAUAUCAUACUUCAUUUUCUUUACUACACGGUGCUUGGGAAUAUAAAUAUGCAUGUGUCUAAAGUUGGCUCUGUAUUUUAAUGAUCAUACAAGUAGCCCAUGGCCAAAGUUUUUAGGUUUGUAAAAAUAUCUGAAAUAUUUUUUUAAGAUAAUUUCUACAUAAGUACAUUUCCGUUAAUAUUUUUUUAAUCCACAGUACUGACAUAAUUGCCCAAAAUCUUCAGGAUCCUUACUCAGAUGUAUCAAUAUUUUUUCUCUUAGCAUAAUGAAAUUGCAGUAGUUUACACACCAUUGCAAUUAACAGGCAUUUACAGCUUUCAUGUCAAGACAUAGUCUUAGUCCACAACUAGCAAGUUUUAAGACCCGUGCAGCAUCUAGCACUAAGACUUUGACAGUAUCAAAUAUUAAAACAUGUAUGUACAUUCUUUGAAAAUGAACUUCUUUUAAUAAAAAGAAAUAAAUAAAAAGCCUUCUUGCUUUUGCUGCCAUAAUUUAAAAUCAAAAACAUUACCAUCUCUUUGAACCUAUAUAAUGAACUGCUUUAUUCGUUAAAGAGGUGUUAUAAGACUACAAACAACAGAAAAUGAAGAGUUCUAUGAAUGCUUCUGUGUGAAUGAAACUCAAGCAGCAAGAUAAUUUUUUAAUAAAGGGAAAUAAUUUAUUUAUAAGAUAAAUAAAUGUAUCAAUAUAAAUGUAUCAAUAUACUCUUGAAUCAGGCAGAGUAUUAGUAUAUGCUGUUAGGCUUAGGUACAAAUAUGUAUAUACAGAAUAGUGAUAUAUCUAAGAAUUAAUCAAAGAACAUAUAAAUCUGAAUGAAUUUUUCUGAAUUUUCUGUUCUAAAUACUGUUGCUGUCACCUUAGAAAGAAUCCUAAAUAGUUAUUUAAAAAUACACUGGCACUACUAUCUGAUUUUAUUAUUAAUGUUUCAAAGAGAGGGCCCAUAGUUAAUUAUAUAAUAAGCAGAGCUUUGUGGUGGGGCACUUCUUAGAUGAAAAGUGCCCUAAUUUUGAGAAUUUCAUAAAUUAAACACUGAAAGUGUAAAGCAACAGCAAUCUGGAUGAAAAAUACACUUCCUUUUUUUUAGUGUGUGAGUAUUUAAAAUUGAUUACCAGGUGUUUUCAAAUGUUUGUGUGAGAGACUCAUUUAAUUUCAGCAGGUAAUCUUCAGCAGGUAACCUUAGGCUCUGUUAUAGUCAAUACAGAGAUAGGCAUGCCUGGAAAACAAUUGGUCUGACCUUUCUCAGGCAUCUCUGGAGAUUCCUGUUCCUACCCAUGAUUAUGUUUGGAGCCACAUUGACUCCCAGCAACUUACACAACUACCAUCAAGCAUAGAGAGGAAAAUUCUAGCUGAACAUACUUUCCAUUCGUUGUACAGACUGUGCAAAUUUCAUGUAAUUUAUCUUGCCCUUUAAGACUCAGUAGUAUUUGAUUUGGUGACUCUGUUCUGUCUUGCUUAAACUGGACUUGAAUUAGAAAUUACACAGGGCAAUUAUGUAGCCUAGAUUUUACUCCCAUGUGUCAUUUACAUAUGUCCUUAGAUUGUUAAGUGAAAAAGAGCUAAAUCAUUUCCUUCCCUUUAGAAACCAUUAAAAUCCACUUAUUAGGUAUAUUGAAUCAUUUUUCUCUAACAGUUUGAAUACUGAAUCAACAUCAUACAGUGUUGAGAGACAUAAGAAAUUUCAACCCCCCUAAAAACUCUAAAUCUUUUAUUAAAAAUUGUUACAUCUAUAAGCAUGUGUUUUUACAAAUAAGGAAAUACUUGCUACAGGGACUGAAAAGAACAUGAGGCAGGUCUAUAAUUCAGAAUUACUUGCAUAAAAAUUAAAGCAUUUUAAACUCUUAAAAAUUCAAACAAAUUCCUUUUUGAAAAAACAGAUAACCAUAUAGUUCAACAAAGAAAAAUUCAGAGUGCUACACUGGAGACAAAAUAACACCUAAACCUGUGGGGAGCAAGAAGCUGAAUAAAAAUAAAGAGCGUACCUUUGUAGCAGAGACAGCCAACACCUCCUGGGCUGCCAGUUAGGAGUGUGAUUAUUGCCAACAGUCAGGACUGUGAUUAUUGCCUUCUCUUCUGCACUCAAGGGAUCAAACUUAGGCUCCCCAUGACAUUUAAUGCUCUACCUAUUAAUCAAGGUAGCCAAUGACCAGCAAGUUAAGUCUUCUAUUUUACUAGAAUAUGUAGUAUGAGAUAAAACAAAGAGGGAAAAUUUUGAGUAAUCUGCUUUUUCCCUUGCAGUCAUGUAAGAAUCACUGUUUCAAACAUGGACUUCCCAGGCCGAAGUUGCAUUGCAAACCAUGACUUUUACAUUCAAAUCAGAACAUUUCAUCAGACUGACAGGUCGUCUCAUCUUGAGGUCAUAAUCUGGGCACAAACUAAUGCUUGUUCAUAUUUGCCAGCACUGAAUCUUAAGACAUUUACAAACUCACUUCUUACCCUGUAGAAGUUUCUGUUUAAUACUGAAAAUGGUUGGCUUCCUUUAGUGUACUCAAUUGCUUAAAUUGCAGAACAGUGCUGUCAGUAGACUCUUAGAAGACCCAAAUCUCUCUUGAAAGACUGAAUAUGUACACAGAGCAUUCUGGAGCAUGGUGCACUGAUGACUGAUAACGUUUUCUUCAGUCUUCUAAAUUUACAGUAGAUGUAGCAGAGAAACCAGAGUUUUCAUUUGUAAUUUUUUCAGUGUUCCUUCUUAUCUGACAGCAAUUACUCCCCAAAAUUAUAGAAUAUCACAGAAUAUGUUUUCAUAUGAUUAAUAAAAGUGAAUGUUAGAAUGUCAAAAUAUUCUUGGCCUCCUUGUUAUUUCCUUAGUUCUGCAGAAACAGAAAGUCAAGGAAAGAAAUAACAUUUUCCUGCAACCUGAAAGACUCUUCCCCACAAAUCUAGUGGACCUUUAUAAAUUCAUUUGUUGGUAGUCACUUGCCCAGAAAGUAGAGCACUACUCUAGCCUGUACAACAGCCAAAUCUAAUUUAUCUCUAAUUACACACAAAUAUAAGAAAACAAUAAUUGGCUUUGUAGGCCAAUUAUGUGAGACACUACAGAAAAGAGCAAGUGGAGAUGACAAGAAAUGUAUGGAGAAAGAAUAGCCUACCCUAUUUAAACAUAGUGAAUAAGGCAGCCAAAAGUGAUGAAUGUCACCCCAUUAGCUAAUGAAAAGACCUCACAGCAGUCGCUCAACCUGCAGGUGUAUUUGGAGCUUGGCAAAAACCUCCUGCUCUCCCUCUUACUUGGGCUAAGGCCUGUUUCUGCAGCCUCAGACAGAACACCAAAAAUAAAAUUAACACAUUUUACAUGGAAAUUUUUUCCUUCCUAACCUUUAUGCAAGGUUAACAUAGUAUAUAAAUUUCAUCAUGCUUAAUUUCAAAGCUAUGCUACUACAACAUAUUACAGCAACAAAGGUUGCAGUUCUUAAUAGAAUAAUUUCAUAGUGUAUGCAAUCUAUGCUUCAAUUACAACUGUCCUUUUUACAUUCACUUCCACUUUAGCUGCACUGUACUGCUACAAAAGCAGGACCAAAACUGUUGUUAAGUUUCUGAUAAGCUGUCUUAACUUAUAUGCAACACUCACCCUCCAAAAAUACACUAAUUUCAGUAAUUUUAAUGGAAUUUUUUAAAUAAAAGAAACCUAUAUAACCCAGAAA
Molecule: long non-coding RNA, 5172 nt
Organism: Taeniopygia guttata (zebra finch)
Lineage: Eukaryota; Metazoa; Chordata; Aves; Passeriformes; Estrildidae
Source: Ensembl